This is a long non-coding RNA of Hibiscus syriacus, 793 nucleotides long. RefSeq lists it as uncharacterized. NCBI's taxonomy places the organism in Eukaryota, Viridiplantae, Streptophyta, Magnoliopsida, Malvales, Malvaceae. The record is from RefSeq and is a predicted model, not a curated record. The transcript is spliced from 2 exons.
AACCCUUUUAUUUCCUAACACCACCCCCUCUCGGUCGUUCUCUCUUUCACUCUCACAUCCCUUGAUUUUUUUCAUUCUUUUACCCCUUCUUCACAAAAUCAAAUGGCCACCAUGGCCAUCGCCGCAUGCGAGCUCCGAUGAGGGACCGAACGGAGUCUAAUGACUCUCUCUCAUAACCCAAAACCACUCCAGGAAACCCAAAGAAUCGACCACCUCCAGCUCCUAAAUCACUCGACCAAGGCUAGGGAAAUGAAGGGUUUACCUUCGACUCAACGGCGUCUAAAUCCCAGGGGACGGGCGAUAAUGUUUUUCGGACCGAAAAGGGGGCACGACAGACUCGCACUGGCUCGGGUACACUAAGGAGGGUUGCGAUGAUGGCAUCGUGGUAUGUGAGAGACCAAACAGACGCGAUCUGAACCGUUGGCGCCCCUUCAAUCCGACGUUGACAUUCUUUGGCGGUGGUGGUGGCAGCUCUUUAGGGUAAAACCCUGGUUCUUGUUGCAUGUGGGCCGUUUGAUCUUAUCAGAUCCAACGGCGGACCCGCGACUGCGUAUGCUUCUUUUCCUAGGGUUAUAAGAACCCUAAUUUUAAGUUUAAUCUAGACCGUCAAAUUGGUUAUCAGAUCUAACGGUUCGGAUGGCGAGUGUCUUCUCCUCCAAACCCUAAUUGGGACUUAGGCUGCUACUGGGCCUCCAACCAAAUUGGACAACUUGCCUUUGGGUCUACUUGUAACAUUCGGGCCUGUAACUGAAAAUUAUAAGAAUUAAAUGUCAGUUUCAAAUUUCAACAGUCA